AGCCACCUAGCCACUUUCCUACUUGCCCCAUUUUUCCUCCCAUUUUUGAUAUCCAUUGUCUACCACCACCACCUACAAAAUAGAAAAAGAAAUAAUAGAAAAUCAUGUAAAAGAUGGCUAUAAAAAGCCAUUCAAAAAUCAUGUAAGGGAGGAGGGAAUUUUGAUCAAUACAAAGAAUUUAUCUUCAAAAAAUACCUAAAGGUGAUUUUAUCUUCUUUAUUUUACUCUUUUUUUAUUUUUAUUUUUUAUUUUUUUUCCUUUUUUCGAAUCUAUUAAUCUAUAUAUAUACAUCAUAAUAAAAGAUAUAAUAAAAAUAUAUAUACAAAACAAAUAUAAAAAAAUUACCUUUUCCAGCCACCACGUGCGGUGGCCGGCGCCGGUGACGGACGGCGGCCGACGGUCGGCCGGUGACCGGCCCCUGGCCGGAUUUACCUUCCCCCCUCCCUUCUCUCUUCCCUCUCUCUUCUUUUUCAUUUAUUUUUCGUAUUUACCUUGGAUUUCAUAUUAUUUUGCUAUUUAAUUUAGCUUUAAAUAUUAAUCAUGUUAUAUAUGUAAUAUUGUUAUCACUAUUAUUUUUAUAUAUUG
This 585-nucleotide long non-coding RNA is filed under the name Gossypium barbadense (sea-island cotton). Its description in RNAcentral is "long non-coding RNA (GBAR_LNC001171)". Lineage: Eukaryota; Viridiplantae; Streptophyta; Magnoliopsida; Malvales; Malvaceae. The record is from RNAcentral.